GGGAUGGAACUCAGGACCUUGAGCUUCCCAGGAAGGCGUACGAAGAGGACCUCGCGCCUUUGAAUACUAAUUUACCUUCCUUGAUACCACGGACGCCCAUUUGGUGUUGGCCGUAAAUGCCUCAUGGAGUAAUCGAGAGAGCUCGUGAGAAAGCUACCGCGGGGAGCCUCAGCCAGGCAAAUCCUCCUGUUUCACCUUCCAGUCCCAGAGGGUAGCUACCGACCGAGCGCUCGCUGUGUGCCAGGGACAAUUCCAACAGUUCCACUUUUGUUGCUUCGUUGGUUCUCCAUUAAAAUCCGAUCGGUAACUUUCAAUUCUGUGAAUGAACCAGCUUCUACGCGACACAUUGCGGCUGACGCGCUCCAUGAGCGAUCUCGGUGUCCGUCACUCUACCUACACCGUCCGUGCCCGUCCUCAACACCCCAGCAUGUCCCCAACACGUGGCGCCUUGCCAGUCCGACAGAGGAAAGCAGUGGCU
Long non-coding RNA from Fukomys damarensis (Damara mole-rat), 478 nucleotides. RefSeq lists it as uncharacterized. The transcript has 3 exons. Lineage: Eukaryota; Metazoa; Chordata; Mammalia; Rodentia; Bathyergidae. The record is from RefSeq and is a predicted model, not a curated record.